AAAAAAAGAAGCAGAAGCAUCUAAAAAAUAUUAGGAGUACAACACAGCAUGACAUAAUUUUCUCCGGUCUGUACAAAUGCAAACAAGAUCAAUUUCUAGCCGAACUAAUUUGCCUAUUUCUCUAUCUUUUUUCUUGAUUAAAGCUUUUUUUUUCCUACUCCCAUUUACGGGUUUCCUUCUCAUUAACAUUAAUGCUGUUUUUCAGCAGGUUUUAUUUUCUCAAUGCACGAGAAAAAAAGCUCAAGCAACGCUUAUGCUGCUAUCUCCAUUCUUGAAGCCCUGCAUCAUCUGGAAAGCGGAGGCGGCCGGCUGAUCCUGGCCGGAGGAAAGAGAUAGCCGCAAAGAUAGAGGCGA
This 354-nucleotide long non-coding RNA is filed under the name Salvia miltiorrhiza (redroot sage). Its description in RNAcentral is "long non-coding RNA (SMIL_LNC005964)". The record is from RNAcentral. Lineage: Eukaryota; Viridiplantae; Streptophyta; Magnoliopsida; Lamiales; Lamiaceae.